AUGCGCAAUUGUCUCGUGCGGCCCGAGGAAAUUUCCUCUUACACGCCCUCUGCGGCAGGCUCCAGUUCCUCCUCCUCCUUUCUCCACUUUACUAGUCCCUGCAGGCCUGUGUAAAGAUCUGCGUAAUCAUGGAAGUUCUGCGUCCACAGCUUAUAAAGAUUGGUGGACGGGUUUAUAGGAAGAAUCCCAUUCAAGAACAGACUUAUCAACAUGAAGAAGAAGAUGAUGACUAUUACCAAGGCCUCAUGGAGUGUGCGGAAGAGCCCUGUGAAACGUACGAGGUGGUGCAGACCCCACAAGGUUUCCGAUGUACCGUGAAGGCCCCCAGCCUCCUCUACAAGCAUAUUGUUGGAAAGAGAGGGGACACUAGAAAGAAACUAGAAGUGGAGACCAAAACUUCCAUUAGCAUUCCUAAGCCUGGACAAGAAGGAGAAAUUG
This is a non-coding RNA of Odocoileus virginianus texanus, 438 nucleotides long. NCBI's taxonomy places the organism in Eukaryota, Metazoa, Chordata, Mammalia, Artiodactyla, Cervidae. The record is from RefSeq and is a predicted model, not a curated record.